Molecule: ribosomal RNA, 612 nt
Filed under: Pseudoalteromonas sp. IND11
Lineage: Bacteria; Pseudomonadati; Pseudomonadota; Gammaproteobacteria; Alteromonadales; Pseudoalteromonadaceae
Description: bacterial SSU rRNA
Rfam family: Bacterial small subunit ribosomal RNA
Source: RNAcentral
AGUCGAGCGGUAACAGAAAGUAGCUUGCUACUUUGCUGACGAGCGGCGGACGGGUGAGUAAUGCUUGGGAACAUGCCUUGAGGUGGGGGACAACAGUUGGAAACGACUGCUAAUACCGCAUAAUGUCUACGGACCAAAGGGGGCUUCGGCUCUCGCCUUUAGAUUGGCCCAAGUGGGAUUAGCUAGUUGGUGAGGUAAUGGCUCACCAAGGCGACGAUCCCUAGCUGGUUUGAGAGGAUGAUCAGCCACACUGGGACUGAGACACGGCCCAGACUCCUACGGGAGGCAGCAGUGGGGAAUAUUGCACAAUGGGCGCAAGCCUGAUGCAGCCAUGCCGCGUGUGUGAAGAAGGCCUUCGGGUUGUAAAGCACUUUCAGUCAGGAGGAAAGGUUAGUAGUUAAUACCUGCUAGCUGUGACGUUACUGACAGAAGAAGCACCGGCUAACUCCGUGCCAGCAGCCGCGGUAAUACGGAGGGUGCGAGCGUUAAUCGGAAUUACUGGGCGUAAAGCGUACGCAGGCGGUUUGUUAAGCGAGAUGUGAAAGCCCCGGGCUCAACCUGGGAACUGCAUUUCGAACUGGCAAACUAGAGUGUGAUAGAGGGUGGUAGAAU